GCAAAGUUUGGGAUCCACAGUCUACAAAACCCCACAUCCCCUGAGAAUUCUCUCGCCUGCCUUAGGCACUUAGGCUCCGGGAGAUUGCAAAUAACCUGCUUUCUUUCUGUUCCCGGGCUGCGUUCGGACUCCUGUCAGAUAGUAAAUCCUAAGUAAGGUACCUGCCAUCGGCAGAUUUGAGCUUUCUUCUUGGACACCUAAUACCCACAGUCCUCCAAGUGGGUCCUAAGGUUCUUAGGAUCCGCGAUGGGGGUCCUAUGCCGGGGGGGACGAGGGGCUGGCUCUCAGUCCCUGCCUCGUUGGGGGUGCCUCCCACCCCUGCGAUUGGUGUCCUAAGAGCCAGGGGGAGAAGAGGGGCUGGCUCUCAGUCCCCGCCUCGUGGGGGGUGUCUCCCCCCCUGCGAUGGGGGUCCUAAGAGCCGGGGGCAGAAUAGGGGCUGCCUCUGCGUCCCUGCCUCGUGGGGGGUGCCUCCCCCUCCUGGGAUGGGGGCCCUAAGAGCCAGAGGGGGAAGAGGGGCUGGCUCUCAGUCCCUGCCUCGUGGGGGGUUGCCUCCCCCCCUGCGAUGGGGUUCCUAAGAGCCUGUGGCGGAUGAGGGGCUGGCUCUCAGUCCCCGCCUCGCAGGGGGUGCCACCCCCCCUGCGAUGGGGGUCCCAAGAGCCACGGGGGGAAAAGGGGCUGGCUCUCAGCCACCACAAAAUGGGGGGCCUUUAUGUUCAGGUUUUGCCCAAGAGUCAGCUUAUUUGCUUCUUGUACUAGCAGGGCAGUUGCUGCCAAGGCCCUCAAACAGGGGGGCCAUCCUUUAGAAACCCUAUCUAGUUGUUCAGAGACGUAGGCCACCGGCCUCAGCCAGGGCCCCACAGUUUGGGUUAAAAGUCCAGCUGCCAUCUUUUCUCUCUCUAACGCAUACAAUGGCAAAGGCUUUGUCAGAUCGGGUAGCCCCAGGGCUGGGGCUGCCAGAAGUUUUUCCUUUAAGUCAUGAAAGACUUGCUGUUCUUGGGAUCCCCAUUCCAAAGGUUCCCGGUCCCCGCCCCCUUUGUGACCUCAUACAAAGGCUUGGCUAAUACUGCAAAGUUUGGGAUGCACAAUCUACAAAACCCCACAGCCCCUGAGAAUUCUCUCGCCUGCCUUCGGCCCUUAGGCUCCGGGAGAUUGCAAAUAACCUGCUUUCUUUCUGUUCCCAGGUGGCGUCGGACCCCUGUCAGAGAGUAAAUCUCAAGUAAGGUACCUGCCAUCGGCAGAUUUGAGCUUUCUUCUUGGACACCUAAUACCCACAGUCCUCCAGGAUAACUUCAGGAAGUGGGUAUUAAUUCUCACGGUAUAAGUGAAGACAUUAAGCACCAGAGUUUAAGUAGCUUGCUAGAUCCACUGAAAGAGAUUCAACUGUGUGGAACCUAUGCCGUGGAGAAUUGCUUUCUGCCAUUGUUAUCGUCCAGCAGUUGCCGAAUAGCUCUGACCUGAGCAAAGCAGUGAAACGCGGUGCUGUUGAGUGGGUUGCCACUGCACCUUUUUCAACUACUCUAGUCUUGUGGAGAAAAUACCCCUUCUAAAUUUUUUCUUCAUUGAAUACUCUCCCUCAGCUCCAGAGUACCAUAUAGAGUUUUCUUGUAUUUUAGAGUUACUGUUUUAUCAAAGUUUACCAGUCUUUUGUAUUACAUUUCUCCUGUCUAAAUCGACUGUGUGGUUUCUACUCAUUAUGGAUAUAGAUUGAUACAAACUCA
RNAcentral lists this long non-coding RNA (1718 nucleotides) under Homo sapiens (human). RNAcentral's name for it is "HSALNT0201311". The record is from RNAcentral. Lineage: Eukaryota; Metazoa; Chordata; Mammalia; Primates; Hominidae.